Molecule: ribosomal RNA, 1968 nt
Filed under: human gut metagenome
Description: bacterial LSU rRNA
Rfam family: Bacterial large subunit ribosomal RNA
Source: RNAcentral
GAAAGUAAGCAAGGGCGCAUGGCGGAUGCCUUGGCUCUCGGAGGCGAUGAAGGACGUGAUAAGCUGCGAAAAGUCACGGGGAGGUGCAAAUAACCCUUGAUCCGUGAAUCUCCGAAUGGGACAACCCGGUAUUCUGAAGGAAUACCAUCCAUCCAAGAUGGAAGCUAACGCAGGGAACUGAAACAUCUUAGUACCUGCAGGAAGAGAAAAUAACAAUGAUUCCCCCAGUAGUGGCGAGCGAACGGGGAAGAGCCCAAACCAUACGUGUUACGGCAUGUAUGGGGUUGUAGGACCGCGCUGUUGCAAGAAAUUUCGUGAGAAGAACAGCCUGGAAAGACUGACCACAGACGGUGACAGUCCGGUAUUCGAAGCGAAACGAAGCAUAGCGGUAUCCUGAGUAGCGCGGAACACGAGGAAUUCUGCGUGAAUCUGCCGGGACCAUCCGGCAAGGCUAAAUACUCCCGAGAGACCGAUAGUGAACCAGUACCGUGAGGGAAAGGUGAAAAGCACUUCGAACAGAAGAGUGAAAUAGUACCUGAAACCGUGCGCCUACAAGCGGUCGGAGCUCCGCAAGGAGUGACGGCGUGCCUUUUGCAUAAUGAACCUACGAGUUGCCGUCUCUGGCGAGGUUAAGGAACAUGAGUUCCGGAGCCGAAGCGAAAGCGAGUCUGAACAGGGCGUCCAGUCAGUGGCGGCAGACGCGAAACCAAGUGAUCUACCCUUGGCCAGGAUGAAGUCUGGGUAACACCAGAUGGAGGUCCGCACCAAUAAGCGUUGAAAAGCUUCUGGAUGAGCUGAGGGUAGGGGUGAAAGGCUAAUCAAACUUGGAGAUAGCUCGUACUCCCCGAAAUGCAUUUAGGUGCAGCCUCGCGGGUUACUGAUGUGAGGUAGAGCGACUGAUUGGAUGCGAGGGCUUCACCGCCUAUCAAGUCCUGACAAACUCCGAAUGCGCAUCAGUUUUACCGCGGGAGUGAGGGCAUGGGUGCUAAGGUCCGUGCCCGAGAGGAGAAGAAUCCGGACUAUCAGCUAAGGCCCCGAAAUGACAGCUAAGUUAAACUAACGAAGUCUGAUUGCUAAGACAGCUAGGAUGUUGGCUUGGAAGCAGCCAUUCAUUUAAAGAGUGCGUAACAGCUCACUAGUCGAGGAAUCGGGCGUGGAUAAUAAUCGGGUAUCAAGUUGUCUGCCGAAGCUAUAGAAUCAGCAAUGAUUGGUAGGGGAGCAUUCCAUUCGGCGUUGAAGGCGUACCGUGAGGUAUUCUGGAGCGUAUGGAAAAGCAAAUGUAGGUAUAAGUAACGAUAAAGGGGGCGGGAAACCCCCUCGCCGAAAGACUAAGGUUUCCUGAUCAACGCUAAUCGGAUCAGGGUAAGUCGGGACCUAAGGCUCAGCCGAACGGCGAGGCCGAUGGCAGAAACGGUUAAGAUUCCGUUACUACCUUCAGGAGUGACGUGGGGAAGCAGUAGUGACACCAUCGCGGACUGACGGAAUAGUCCGUUGAAGAGUGUAGGCGUUGAUUUCCGCAGGCAAAUCCGCGGAGAGAGCCGAACUUGAGAGUAUGGAGCGUCCUUCGGGACAAUCCAAUAGCAUGGGUAACCAGACUGCCGAGAAAAUCCGCUAAACAUAAUUCUGAAGGUACCCGUACCGCAAACGGACACACGUAGUCGGGUUGAAUAUACUAAGGCGCUUGAGUGAAUCACGGUUAAGGAACUAGGCAAACUGACCCUGUAACUUCGGGAUAAAGGGUCCCUACCCAGAGAUGGGAGGGCGCAGAGAAUAGGUCCAGGCAACUGUUUAACAAAAACACAGGGCUGUGCCAAUAUGAAAGUAGACGUAUACAGCCUGACACCUGCCCGGUGCUGGAAGGUUAAGAGGAGAUGUCAUCGCAAGAGAAGCAUUGAAUUGAAGCCCCAGUAAACGGCGGCCGUAACUAUAACGGUCCUAAGGUAGCGAAAUUCCUUGUCGGGUAAGUUC